RNAcentral lists this long non-coding RNA (1244 nucleotides) under Sinocyclocheilus anshuiensis. Its description in RNAcentral is "lncRNA (ENSSANG00000003297.1)". Lineage: Eukaryota; Metazoa; Chordata; Actinopteri; Cypriniformes; Cyprinidae. The record is from RNAcentral.
AUCACGCAGUCAAGAGGGAAUCUAGCGCUGACACACACAUUAAUCAUAUCAGUCGCUCAUCGGCUCUAAAUACACGAACGCUCACUGUUACCGUGAAAGAGGAUAGAGCCUCAACAAAGGUCAUAAACACACACUUGAAUGCUCACAAACCUCACAACUCUUGUCCCUGCAGACCUCCUGUGACUGUCAACCCACCCCAAACACACAAAAACAGCCUGUCAGAGAAGCUAGAAGCCACACAGGUGACAAAUACCAGAAUACCACACACAAACACUCACUUUAGAUCAUCUCACCAGCCAAACCCUGAUGAGAAACGACCAACUCAAAGAAACCAAGGAGCAACUACACACUCAGAGUCCCCCCAGCCCCAAAAUAAAACACACAUCAGACCUUUGCAAACUACUUUGAAACAACAAAUGUUCCCCCAAACUAGCAUACCGCAGAACUAUGCACUUUCGAAAUGCUCACGGUUAAAUCAGACAAGCACACUUUCGAAAUCCCCUGCCUGUUUUCAUUUACAUUCAAACGUUAAACGCCAAACUAUAGUGCAGAGUUGUGUGAAUGAAGGUGUCAUAUCCUCCACUGCUUCAAACAUUCACAGACAGGUUCAGUUCACUAAUGGACUAGAGUCCAAGUUUGACACGCACACUAAACCGUCAGUGUGCUCACACACAAAUUUCGGCAUUAAACCUCAAAGCGGGACGCAAAUCUGUGCUGACACAGAGUCAGAAUCAUCACCCUGUGAUUCACGUUCGCAUUCUGCACUGGUGACACACGCACAUAAACUCUCAGGGCCUCACGGUGAACCACGUCACGCAUCGAUACACACAGGCACUCCUUCGCCCACCGACACGCACAAGGAAGUUUCCCACACAUCCACACAGCGAACAAACACCAGUGGAACAUCACUGCAGGGUAUAUCCGUGCAUAAAGACGCACUGUCACAUCCUUAUCGUGAGUCAAAAAGCCAAAAUGACACUUGUUUGUUUUCACAUGCCCCAAAUAUGUCAACUCAUCACAAAGCAACACUUACGACACAAACAAUCAACCAUCAGAACCUCUCAAAUGCAUUUACCGCCACGCAGACGGAGGUGGAGGUGCAUUCGUACACCAAAGAACGUUCUCAAGCAAGCCCUGGGGUCAAAGCAGCCUCGCGCACUUUGUGUGUUCAAUCGAAAACGCCAUGUAGGCAGACAGAGCCUACGGUUUUCAGACGCUCUGUCCUGAAUCAGCUUAAUAAUGAC